Molecule: long non-coding RNA, 1450 nt
Filed under: Rattus norvegicus (Norway rat)
Lineage: Eukaryota; Metazoa; Chordata; Mammalia; Rodentia; Muridae
Description: long non-coding RNA NONRATT027531
Source: RNAcentral
CUCUCUCUCUCUCUCUCUCUCUCUCUCUCUCUUCCUUUUUCUGUAUGUAUGUAUGGAUUGGUUAAAGUCAGUUAUCAUGGGCAGCUGACUUUGACUCCAAAUUAAAGUUAAACAACACAUUGUACAGCUGUGCACAGAACACCUUUGAGUGUCAAUUUGGAUGGCAACUAGAGGCAUACUUUUUGAACUUCAGGUAUGUAACCGAAAAGUAAAUAAAACACUAUUUUUUCAGUAACCUUUUUUUUUUCUUCUAAAAGAUAACUUAAAAAUCAAACUAUACGAACAUUAAAUUGGUGCUGUACCAAAGCCUUAUGACAUAUUCUCCACUCUGUAUAUUCUGUCUCCGGGGAGCUCCCUGCUUUAUUCCUCUUCUCAAAAGCCUGGGAAUGCCAGUGUGUGUCAAGCCUGGGGCUGGGUGCUUGGGACCUGUGGGCUGAAGGGACUCUUGGGAGCAGAAGAUGAUGGUGAAGGUGGGGUACCCAUCUUCUGCCUGAGCAGAUACCGAAGGGAAAGCGGGUGUUGGUGUAUGUGGCAUGCAUGUGCGUGCAUGUGUGUGUGCGUGCAUGCACGUGUGCAUGAGCUCAUCAGUGCAUAGUGCCGAAGUGCAUGCACUACCUGGGGAUUGAAAGGGAGACCCAGGUUGGCCUGGGUGUGGGGUGUCUGUGGGAGUGAGGGGCACGCCCCUUCCUUUUUCCCAUUUCCCCUUUCUUGUAGGUUAGUAAUGGAGGUGUAUCAGAAACAGCUACACUCUCAAACAGGUGCUUUUCCCCCUCAAAAAAAAAAAAAAAUCUCCAAACUACGUAUCUAUCUGUGAAGGGCCUGUCCCUGGGACAGGCACCUCAGCUACCAAAUCCUAACCGCCUAAGGCUGAGAGGAACCCUUUUUCUCUCUAGCCCCUGCCUAGUUUCUUGGGGACAAAGUUUCCUCCAAGGAUCUCUCCAUCUCCUGUUCCUUGGCCUGGGUGGGCUUCUUAGCCCAUUGAGAGGGCCUCACUGUGGCAGACCCAUAGCUGUACCUGCUCCGUGGUCCUAAUCAAUAAUGCCUGCCCUGCCUGCUGAGGACAGUGAUUCCUUUGGCCUCAGACUUGUCAGUGUAAAGUUGAGCACCAGCCCCGGUUUAUUUGGGAGGAAACCUGCAGUCGGCCUUGACCUAGACUGCGACUCUAGGCUCCACCUGCUGGUGCUUUCAGACUUGCCGAAGCUGACCAACUCAUCACCAGUUAACACUGCAUGUCCAUAUCCGCAAACAACAACAGUACAUAAGCAAACACAGGGAAAGAGAGAGAAAGAAGACACAUCCGGUAACUAGAUGUGUGGUCAGCGAAGGUACCCCUGGGAACAUUGCAAGCUAAGCUGAUUACAAAACAUUUAGUAUUUAAUUACUCCUCAUGUACCAUUACUCUGCUUCAGAAAUGUUUUGUAUUUUGAUAUAAAUAAAAAUUUGCUUAAAA